Molecule: long non-coding RNA, 574 nt
Filed under: Salmo salar (Atlantic salmon)
Lineage: Eukaryota; Metazoa; Chordata; Actinopteri; Salmoniformes; Salmonidae
Description: lncRNA (ENSSSAG00000090775.1)
Source: RNAcentral
UUUUACAGGAAACUUGACUUUGUCGUAAUAAAAUGGAUGAGAAUGACUGGUUGUUGGCUCACUGAUUGAACAGGUUGAUGGUAUCUCGCUCCCUCUUUUAGGACAUUACCACACUCAAAAAGGCAUGUUGUAAUGCAACAAAAUAGGAAAAACGCCAAGGGGGGUGACUACUUUUGCAUGUGUACACCAUCAGAUCUCGAGGUAAGCACAAUCUCUUGAAUUUGAAAACACACACUCAACAUUAAGGUGUUUAGUGGGGACCUCUGACACACUGAGGAGGAUUUUAUUCUGACGCUUUGGCCGCUGCCCCUGCAAACAGUGUUGUUUACUUAGCUAGAUCCCUCAGGCUUGGAGAAUGUAGUAUAGACACAAUAACCAUCUCCUCUCACUCACAGGCCCCAAUGCUCAUCUGAGAUCACUUGUCAUCAGGAUGGAUGUUGUUUGGGUUUCCAUAAACACAAGGAUGGAGAUAGAGUGAGGAGCUUUACAGAAAUCUUGGCCAAGUUACUUGGUUCUGUAGAAAAUCGAUUUUCCUAUUUAUGACAGCUCCAGUUCCCUCGGCAUCCCUCAAGCC